AUAUAUAUAUAUAUGUAUAUAUAUGUGUGUGUGUGUGUGUGUGUGUGUGUAUAUACAGACACACACAUAUAUAUGCAUAUAUGUGUG
This 87-nucleotide microRNA precursor is filed under the name Ovis aries (sheep). Its description in RNAcentral is "miRNA (ENSOARG00000023056.1)". The record is from RNAcentral. Lineage: Eukaryota; Metazoa; Chordata; Mammalia; Artiodactyla; Bovidae.